UGGUGGGUAGUUUGACUGGGGCGGUCUCCUCCCAAAGCGUAACGGAGGAGCACGAAGGUUAGCUAAUCCUGGUCGGACAUCAGGAGGUUAGUGCAAUGGCAUAAGCUAGCUUGACUGCGAGCGUGACGGCGCGAGCAGGUGCGAAAGCAGGUCAUAGUGAUCCGGUGGUUCUGAAUGGAAGGGCCAUCGCUCAACGGAUAAAAGGUACUCCGGGGAUAACAGGCUGAUACCGCCCAAGAGUUCAUAUCGACGGCGGUGUUUGGCACCUCGAUGUCGGCUCAUCACAUCCUGGGGCUGAAGUAGGUCCCAAGGGUAUGGCUGUUCGCCAUUUAAAGUGGUACGCGAGCUGGGUUUAGAACGUCGUGAGACAGUUCGGUCCCUAUCUGCCGUGGGCGCUGGAGAAUUGAGGGGGGCUGCUCCUAGUACGAGAGGACCGGAGUGGACGCAUCACUGGUGUUCGGGUUGUCAUGCCAAUGGCACUGCCCGGUAGCUAAAUGCGGAAGAGAUAAGUGCUGAAAGCAUCUAAGC
This 528-nucleotide ribosomal RNA is filed under the name Klebsiella pneumoniae. RNAcentral describes it as "partial 23S ribosomal RNA". It matches the Rfam family "Bacterial large subunit ribosomal RNA", at positions 2259 to 2786 of the family's 2925-position model. The record is from RNAcentral. Lineage: Bacteria; Pseudomonadati; Pseudomonadota; Gammaproteobacteria; Enterobacterales; Enterobacteriaceae.